CCUACGGGUGGCAGCAGUGAGGAAUAUUGGUCAAUGGACGAGAGUCUGAACCAGCCAAGUCGCGUGAAGGAUGACUGCCCUCUGGGUUGUAAACUUCUUUUAUAUGGGAAUAAAAUGUUCCACGUGUGGGAUUUUGUAUGUACCAUAUGAAUAAGGAUCGGCUAACUCGGUGCCAGCAGCCGCGGUAAUCCGGAGGAUCCGAGCGUUAUCCGGAUUUAUUCGGUUUAAAGGGAGCGUAGGUGGAUUGUUAAGUCAGUUGUGAAAUUUUGCGGCUCAACCGUAAAAUUGCAGUUGAAACUGGCAGUCUGGAGUACAGUAGAGGUGGGCGGAAUUCGUGGUGUAGCGGUGAAAUGCUUAGAUAUCACGAAGAACUCCGAUUGCGAAGGCAGCUCACUGGACUGCAACUGACACUGAGGCUCGAAAGUGUGGGUAUCAAACAGGAUUAGAUACCCCUGUAGUC
This 460-nucleotide ribosomal RNA is filed under the name uncultured bacterium. Its description in RNAcentral is "partial 16S ribosomal RNA". It matches the Rfam family "Bacterial small subunit ribosomal RNA", at positions 338 to 795 of the family's 1533-position model. The record is from RNAcentral.